Molecule: ribosomal RNA, 1967 nt
Filed under: seawater metagenome
Description: bacterial LSU rRNA
Rfam family: Bacterial large subunit ribosomal RNA
Source: RNAcentral
AGUACCGUGAGGGAAAGGUGAAAAGUACCCCGGGAGGGGAGUGAAAUAGAACCUGAAACCGUUUGCUUACAAUCCGUUGGAGCCUCCUUGUAGGGGUGACAGCGUGCCUUUUGAAGAAUGAGCCUGCGAGUUAGCGAUAUGUGGCGAGGUUAACCCGUGAGGGGUAGCCGUAGCGAAAGCGAGUCUGAAUAGGGCGAUUCAGUCGCAUGUCCUAGACCCGAAGCGAAGUGAUCUAUCCAUGGCCAGGUUGAAGCGACGGUAAGACGUCGUGGAGGACCGAACCCACUUCAGUUGAAAAUGGAGGGGAUGAGCUGUGGAUAGGGGUGAAAGGCCAAUCAAACUCUGUGAUAGCUGGUUCUCCCCGAAAUGCAUUUAGGUGCAGCGUUACGUGUUUCUUGCCGGAGGUAGAGCUACUGGAUGGCCGAUGGGCCUUCACGGGUUACUGACGUCAGCUAAACUCCGAAUGCCGGUAAGUGAGAGCGUAGCAGUGAGACAGUGGGGGAUAAGCUUCAUUGUCGAGAGGGAAACAGCCCAGACCACCAACUAAGGCCCCUAAGCGUGUGCUAAGUGGGAAAGGAUGUGGAGUUGCUUAGACAACCAGGAGGUUGGCUUAGAAGCAGCCAUCCUUGAAAGAGUGCGUAAUAGCUCACUGGUCAAGUGAUUCUGCGCCGAUAAUGUAGCGGGGCUCAAGUACACCGCCGAAGUUGUGGCAAUCAGUCUUUGUGGCUGGUUGGGUAGGGGAGCGUCCUGCACGAGGUGAAGCUGCCACGGGAGUGUGUGGUGGAUUGUGUGGGAGUGAGAAUGCAGGCAUGAGUAGCGAAUCACGGGUGAGAAACCCGUGCGCCGGAUGAUCAAGGGUUCCAGGGUCAAGUUAAUCUGCCCUGGGUUAGUCGGGGCCUAAGGCGAGGCCGACAGGCGUAGUCGAUGGAGAACGGGUUGAUAUUCCCGUACCAGUGAAGGACCGUCCAUACUGAUAUUGUGAUGCUAACCAUGCCGAUCACGGUGUCAUGAAGUUUUUCUUUGUGGUGUUGUGGGGUGUGUGGGACCCAAGCUUUGGAGGUAAGCGUGUUAACAGGUGUGACGCAGGAAGGUAGCCAAGCCACGCGGUGGUUGUCGUGGUCUAAGCGUGUAGGAUGACUGGUUGUUAAAUGCGCCGGUUGUGUGUCUGAGACGUGAUGGGACCCCUUGUUUGUGGGGGAUUUGGUGAUCCUAUGCUGCCGAGAAAAGCAUCGGCGUGAGGUUUUAGCUGCCCGUACCCGAAACCGACACAGGUGAUCAGGUAGAGAAUACUAAGGCGAUCGAGAGAAUCAUGGUUAAGGAACUCGGCAAAAUGCCCCCGUAACUUCGGGAGAAGGGGGGCCCUGAGCGUGAUCUGCCCGUGCGGUGGGGAGCGUGUAGGGGUCGCAGAGACCAGGGGGAAGCGACUGUUUAUCAAAAACACAGGUCCGUGCGAAGUCGUAAGACGAUGUAUACGGACUGACUCCUGCCCGGUGCUGGAAGGUUAAGGGGAACUGUGAGUGUAUGCGUAGCGGUGAACUUAAGCCCCAGUAAACGGCGGUGGUAACUAUAACCAUCCUAAGGUAGCGAAAUUCCUUGUCGGGUAAGUUCCGACCUGCACGAAUGGAGUAACGACUUCCCCGCUGUCUCAACCAUGAACUCGGCGAAAUUGCAUUACGAGUAAAGAUGCUCGUUACGCGCAGAAGGACGGAAAGACCCCGUGACCUUUACUAUAGUUUGGUAUUGGUGUUCGGUGUGGCUUGUGUAGGAUAGGUGGGAGACUGUGAAGCGGGCACGCCAGUGUUCGUGGAGUCGCCGUUGAAAUACCACUCUGGUCACUCUGGAUAUCUAACUUCGAACCGUAAUCCGGUUCAGGGACAGUGCCUGGUGGGUAGUUUAACUGGGGCGGUUGCCUCCCAAAAAGUAACGGAGGCGCCCAAAGGUUCCCUCAACCUGGUUGGCAAUCAGGU